GUAAACGUUGUCGUUUGGAUCAACCUUAACAGAGAUUCGUCUACAAAUAAUCCAAUUACCAAGGCAGCAGUUUCUUCUACGGGUUGAAUAAGAAUGCAGAUAAUAGUAGAUACAAGGCAAAUUCAAACAAUUAACAUGAGUAGCAUCACCCACACUACAAUAAUCAAGAAUACAGAUUGGUCUUUGCAGUCUUAAGCUUUCUCCUGCCCCAUGUCAUCACUCCACGUGGAGUGCAGAACUGCAGAAACUCAACCAACCAUUGUGCGCUUUCUUCCUCUUUGCCUCACUUCCGCUAGCUUGUUCAAGGUUGAUGACCAUUGCUUUGAGGACUUCCUAUAUGCAGCAAGUAUACGGUCCAUCACAUUUCCACAAGAAGAGUGCAUAGAGAGUAAAGCACGUUCCAGUACAUAUAAAUCAACUGCUUUAUCUUCUGGAAGCGUUGAAGUAAAGCUUAGACCAAAGUCAAUCAGCACCAGCUGAUUGGCAGAACUCCUCAGUAACAUGUUUGAUGUUGUCAAAUCGCCAUGGACUAGGCCACCAUCGUGUAGUUUUCCAAUAGCAUUACCAAUCUGUGUUGUAAUAUCAGCCAUUCGUUCUUCGUCAACUCCAACUAGUCCAAAGCCAAGCAAUAUAUCUUUCACCGAAGGACCUUCAACAUAUUCAAAGGUGAGAGUGUGCAUAACAGUGUCAACAGCAUACAACACUGGAGUGACAACACCAAGCCGUCUAGCUUUUGUCAUGCACCUUGCUUCCGCAUUCAACCGUUUAAGAGUGAGCUUUGAGUCCAAAAUCGGAUGCCUGUAUUUCUUUGAAAACCGUUCCUUGAUAAUACACCUUCUACUACCCACAAAUGUUGACUCAAAUACCCUAGCCUCAGCUCCUUGCUUGAUUAAAACCAAUGAUCCAUCACUUCCAUCUGCCUUGAUUUCCAUCUUUUUGCCGUUGAAGAUGAGCAGCGCCGCCACCGCAAACCGCACAGCUUCGGACAGUAUGAGUGAAGAAGAAGGACGACCGCAGUUAGGAUUUAGAAGAUUUGGGAAUUUGG
Molecule: unclassified non-coding RNA, 1045 nt
Filed under: Hevea brasiliensis (rubber tree)
Lineage: Eukaryota; Viridiplantae; Streptophyta; Magnoliopsida; Malpighiales; Euphorbiaceae
Source: RNAcentral